This 7346-nucleotide long non-coding RNA is filed under the name Triticum aestivum (bread wheat). Its description in RNAcentral is "long non-coding RNA (TAES_LNC015013)". Lineage: Eukaryota; Viridiplantae; Streptophyta; Magnoliopsida; Poales; Poaceae. The record is from RNAcentral.
CCGGUCCCUCGAAUCGAAAAAUAAUAAAUAAAUAAAUCUGUGGUACUGCUCGGACUUCCGCCGUCCCAAUUCCAGAUGGAAUCUGACAUUCCGGUCACUCUGGGCUCCGGGUACAGAAUGCGAACCGGAUCCAUCUCGGACGAGGUCUGGUAGGGACGCCGCCGGCAAUAUUGUUGCGCUUCCAGGUUCCGGCCGCGGUUGGGUUGGGGGCGGCCUGCCUUUCGGUGGAGGGGGAAAGGCGAUCCGUCGGAGGGUUCAUUGGAGGUGGCUCAUCAUCUGGCUGGGAUCUAUGGCCGAAUGGAAGAGGCGGCGGCGGCGAACUGCGUGAUGGGGUGCAUACACACCGACCUCCUGCAGGACACCGCUGCGUUGCUCUGGACGCGCAUCCUCCUCCGCCCCACUGCCGACCCGGCCGGCGCACGACGCAACGCCGAGGCAUUCAGUGGCAGCAGGAAUCCAUCCACUGCAUCCCCGGCAAACCUCCCUGUGCUCCAUUGCGCAGGCGUCGUCCGGGUGUCCGUCAAGGGCGAGGUUUGUUGCUCUCUGAUAAAAUUGUACUACUAGGAAAAUGUGAUAUCCUUGCACAUCGGUUUCAACUUUCAAGUUUAUUUGACAAUUCAAUGUACCACUGUACAAUUUGUCUGGUUAAGGGUGUGAUUAGUCGAUAGUCGGGCUUAAUUACUUGCAGUUUACUACUCCCUCCGUCCCGAAUUACUUCGUAUCUAGAAUACAUCCGUAUCAAAACAAAUCUAAGACAAGUAAUUCGGGACGGAGGUAAUACUAGUUUUGAAAGAAAAAGGAAAAUCCAAGUCGAAAGAAAAGUUCAUGUGCUGAACUUUUUAUUUGAUAUAGGUUGAACCACAGCUUACAUACACGACGAACAUAGAUUUACUUGUAAAAUGGAAGACGAUCCACGACAUAACACGAUUUCUAUCGAGAAAAGGUAAAGCAUUAAGUAAAGGAAACUAGUCUUAGGUCAUCCUGCAGCAGCAACAUCUGAGCAAUAUUAAAUGUUUGCAGUUUUUGCUCAACCCUGCAGUGCUGAAAAUGCAUCUUUGAUUGCGGUGACCUCAACGUAAACAUCCUGCAUUGAGGGACGAUAUUUGGGUGUCUCUGCAGCGCACAUGAGGCCAAUCUUAACGAGCUUGAUGAUGCAGCUCAUUCCAGCCAUUUGAUGAUGAUUUUCUUGAUCUACAGCCCUGCCUGCUUCUCCGUCUUGGUCCGCAUAAUAGGGAAUGAUUCUCGGAUCUAGAAUCUCGCCAAUCUUUUCAGGAAAUGAUUUUUCAACAAAAUUGUAAAGGCUCAGGCCAUCUUUAAACAUCUCAUCAGUUGGACGCUUCCCUGUGAGCAUUUCUAAGACGAUGACUCCAAAGCUGUAAAUAUCACCCUCGGUAGAGAUUUUGCUCCCAAAGCCAUAUUCUGCAAUAUGUAUAGUUAUUGAAACCGUUAAUUAACACAAUAAAAUUGGAGCACAAGAAUCAAAAUAUUUCUGGGGAAAAUAAAGUAAAAUGUCAUUGAGCCUAUAAGAUAUUUUCCAUAAAUAUAUUAUCCUACAUGAAGAAAUUCUUACCUGGUGCAAUGUAUCCAACUGAUCCUCUUGGUCCCACUAAGCUCGUAGAACCAUCAAUCCUAGAAGAAGUAUAACUGUGUACAAACUUAGUCAACCCGAAGUCACCAACACAUGCGCCCAUGACAUCAUCCAGAACACAGGCGGAGGACCCGGUAGGGCGAGGUUGGGCGCCCGCCCUACCUUGAUUUUGUACGAUGCAAUCUGUACAGGUAUACGCAUCGCUGGAUCGCUGGCUGGCUGGCUCCUGGUUGCCUCGCUAGGUAAAAAAAAAGGAGAAAAGGGAAUGGGCCUUCGAGCGAACGCAAGCCGCGUUAGGCCAGCAGCGCCCUGAUUGCUCCCCCAACAGCUAAGGAACUGCUACAUUCUUUUACCCUGAUUGCUCAAGUUCCUCAGCUGUCUAGACUAGCAGCAGUCCUCGACUGGUGCAUUCUUUUACCCUUUAAAAAGGUAGCAGUUUCCCGAUUCCCUCUCAUCCGCUGGCCUGAUUUCUCUUCACCGCCCCGGUUGGGAUUUCUACUGAUUAGCUAUUUUUUAUGUGUGUGUGAGAGAGGUGCUUAUUACUGUAAUUUGUGCGGCUACUGUAGGCGCUCUUUCAGUGAAUGGGAAACGUAGAAAUAUAGCAGAUGGGUAAGAAAAGAGAGGGUAGAACAAAGGUAAGAGUAAAGGUGCAAAUUUAUGGAAAAAAUAGAUUUCUAAAUUUGUGAUCUGUAUGGUAAAAUAGUUUGACAAUGUACAAUUCAGUGAUCUUAAUGAUAUUUUCAUAUUGUGAAUGGUAGCAUAUCAUAAUUUAAUUUACGCCUUAGUGUCCGCCCCACCUCAAAUUUUUGUCGUCCUCCGCCACUGAUCCAGAAGGACAUUGCUUGGCUUCAGAUCACAGUGUGUCAUAGGAGGCAUGCAAUGGUUAUGCAGGUAAUCCAAAGCAGCUGCUAUGUCUACUGCUAUUGCUAUUCUUGAACCCAAAGACAAGGGCCUUUUCAGAUGAUGCUCGUGGAGUGUUGGAUGGAGCCAACUUUCAAGGUUGCCGUUAACCAUAUAUUCAAGGAGAAGAGCUUUGAACUCAUUUCCUGUCAGGUCACUUGUCGAGCAUACUGUGAUCACCCUUACAAGAUUACGAUGACGAGUACUUCUGAGUGCCUGGCAUUCAGCAACGAAGCUUUUCGUUGCUCCAGGCUGAUCAAGUUUGAAAACUUUGAUCGCAACUGCAUGUUCUUCAGACUCAAUUCUACCUUUGUAUACGGACCCAUACUUUCCUGAACCAACCAAGUUGGCUAAAGAGAAACCAUUUGUUGCUUUCACUAAAUCAGCAUAUGUGAAUUUCUUUAACUCCUCGACGGAUGGAUGAUCUUCUUGCUUCGCUUUCUUUCCCUUCUUUAAAAAAAUGAGUCCAAUACAUGAUAACAUGACUAAGACAAGAGCAGAUAAUCCCAUUAUCUUCAGAAUGUGGAAUCUGUGCCUUUGUUGAGAUGCAGCUGUAUGGCAAAGUGGCAAUCUCAAUAGUGGGGAGACAGCACACAACUCUUUGUUCCCUUGGACAAACACCUUGCUUGCAUUUUGGAAGAUCCCACCAGUUGGCAUGGGUCCCUCCAGGUUGUUGAAUGACAAAUUGAGAAGUGACAGGGAGCUGAAAGCCUCAAAGAAGUCUGGAACUUGACCAGACAAGUUGUUUCGAGAAAGGUCCAUGUCACUGAUGCCUUUCAGUGCAGCGAAAGAUUGAGGGAUUCGCCCAUCAAGUAGAUUACCUUCCAGGUGGAGGGAUUCUAAAUGGAGGCAGUCGCCCAAAGUUGAGGGAAUUUCUCCAGUCAACAGGUUGUUGGAAAUAUCGAGGGGGGAAAGGUUGAUUAAUUUGCCAAUCUCCACUGGUAUAUGUCCAGAGAGUUUGUUGUGAGACAGAUCAAGACCUUCAGCAAGUGUGGAAAUAGUGAACAGUUCUUUUGGUAUUGUUCCAUCAAAUGAGUUGCAAGAGAGGUUUAGGGUGUGUAACUUAUUGCACUGUGCUAAAGCUACUGGGAUGGGCCCGCUCAAAUUAUUUUGCUGCAAAUAGAGCUCACUUAGUUGACCAAGUUUACGAAUUGAAAGUGGGAUUUGGCCAGAUAGCUUGUUUCCUGAUAAUCUUAGAACGAACAUGUUGGAAAGGUUUCCAAGUGAGUACGGAAGGGUUCCAGUAAGCAAAUUGUGCUCUAUGUAAAGAAGUUUGAGGCUACUAAGGUUCCCUAUCUCGUGUGGUAUGGUACCAGAUAUUUUAUUUGCUGUCAAGAUCAGAGAUUCUAAGCUUUUUGGAAGAUCGCCUAUGGACUUUGGCAGUUCACCUUGUAGGUUAUUUUCAUCUAAACGUAAACUUACUAGCUUUGUACAACUGGUGAGCGAGUGGAGGAAAGUCCAGUCGCCAGCUUCGAGUUGGUUCUUGCCUAGAUUUAGUUCGGUUAAGUUGGGCAAAGACCCAAAAUAAGGAACAAUACCAUGGAAUGCAUUGUCACAAAGAUUAAUGCUCUGAAGAUUUCUGGCCUUGGCCAUUGAAGUGGGAAUAAUACCUCCAAAUCUGUUUCCUUGAACAAUGAAUGUCUGGAUGCUUUGAAGGGUAUGGCCAAUAUUUUCUGGAAUUUCUCCUGUUAGGCUGUUAAUUCCCAUGCCAAGGUAUGUGAGUGUUGAUAUAUUGUAGAGAGAGCCUGGAACGGCUCCUAUCAAGUUGUUGUAAUUCAGAUCUAAUUUGUCCAAGUGGGGGACUUUACUCAAACUCCACGGAAUGCUGCCUUGCAAGUGAUUCCCUGCAAGCAAAAGCUCAACAAGGGAAGAGGAGUUCCCUAUGGUGGAAGGUAUUUUUCCUGCGAGAUUGUUGAAUGAUAGGGACAGAGUUCGCAACGGCGAGAUGGGUGAGAAAGGUGGAAUAGACCCGGAGAAGUUAUUUCUUCCCAAAAGUAUGAUUUCAAGAGAUGGGCUGCUGAAGAGAGAGGGAGGUACGUCUCCAUCGAGGUCAUUGCUUCCCAAGUCCAGCCAUUCAAGUGCUGAACUAUUUGCUAAGAGAGGUGGAAAGCCUCCAGUUAGGCUGUUGUUUGCCAGGACGACAUAGUAGAGUGAUGAGCUGCUUCCAAGUGGGUAAGGAAUCUUGUCCGUUAAUUUGUUGUUAGAACAUACAGAACUGAAAGCUUAGGAAGCAUGCCGAACCCAUCCGGAAUGCUUCCGUGGAGCGUGUUGCUAUCAAGAUAAAUCUCUGUGAGAUUUAGACAGUUGGCCAAACCUGUGGGGAUCUUCCCCUGGAGGUAGUUAUUCCCAAGAUCGAUUAUCUGAAGGCUAGAACAGGUAGACAAAGAGUUCGGUAUUACGCCAGUAAGAAUGUUAUCUGAAAGGGAGAGCUCGACAAGGUGACGCAGAAAACCUACCUCAGGCGGGAUCCCGCCAUUCAGCAGGUUAUCCUGGAGUUUGAUUCUUGCAAGGAAAGUGAGAUUACCGAUGCAGGGUGGUAUUUGGCCGUUCAGAUCAAGAGAUUCAAGAUGAAGUGUUGUGACGCGAGAUGCGUGCUUCUUGCCACAGGUGACACCGGGCCAACUGCAAUACUGAAGGGUAUUGUUCCACGAGGCGAGGGCUUCGGUGUUGUUAGAGAGAUGGUUCUUGAGACAGAGGAGUGCUUGGAAGUCCUUACCAGAUUCAUCACCAAGCGUGGUGCCAUCGAGUGAAGAAGCAGGGGCAAAAGAGGUCAAGAAAGUGAGGAGGACGGUGGCUGUGAAGAGUGAUGAACUGAUAGUCCCUAAAGAUACAUGGGCCAUUUGUGUGCUACCCACGGUUGUGUAUGUUUCUACUGAGUUGUGCCCUCCUACAGAUUUCAGCGGUAGCAGUGAGCACACAUAUUUAUAGCGGGGCUAGCUUGGAAGCCUGCCUUCUCUGCACCCCCCAUUUGUGUGUAACCGAAACAAGACAUUCUAGUUCCCAUCAUGGGCCUGCCUUCUCUGCACCCCCCAUUUGUGUGUAACCGAAACAAGACAUUCUAGGUUCCCAUCAUGGGCAGUAGUGGAAACCAAAGAGCGUUCCCUCGAAAAUUCACUCUCAAGGAACGUCUGCUCUAUCUCGCAAAAAAAAGGAACGUUAGCUCUAUAAUUUAUCAUUGUUUUUUUAAAUAAGGCGCUUGCAAUUUCCACUAUUUUUUUGCGAGAAAACUUCUAAUCUAUUCUUUUUCAACCAUGGUAGUACAUCGAACACUAGAAAUAAUAAAAAUUACAUUCAGGUCCGUAGACCAUCUAGCGACGAUUACAAGCACUGAAGCAAGCUGAAGGCGUGCCGCUGUCAUCGCCCCUCCCUUGCCAGAGCCCUCCCACCGGCAAGGGCCGGGAUCCACUCCGCUCCCAUGGCCCUAAGGCCACCAGAGGCGAGGUGGAUCGGCAGCGAUGCCGGUGGGAGGCAGAGAAACCCUAGCUUUGGGGAGGCGGCAAUUUUCACUAUAUUCUUGUGUUUUUUCUGUGGCGCAUCAAACAAAAUCUAUCACACAUUCUCUUGUUUUGAAUUUCUAUAGGAUUUUCCAACAUGUUAUUAUAUAUAAUUUCUAUGUCAUUCAAUUCCUGCGAUGGACGCUACUUUUAUUUGUAUUUAUAGGUAGAAGUUUGUUUCUUGGUUUUUCAGUUUUCUGCGACUGGCCUAUGGGGACAUAAAGUAGUACUGGAGAUUUGGUGGUUCUUUUUUCGGAUUUUCACCUGCACCAGCAAUGUAGCGGAGAGACUCAGAAUCUUGGAGGCAGUCCCGGUCUCUGACUGGAGGUUUGGCAGCAAGCCACCAUAUCUCCAGUACUACUUUAUGUCACCAUGGACUCGAGUAUCGGUGAGUGCAGCACGGGUCUCCCACCGCUACAACUUUAGCUUCUCCUAAUUCUUAACGCACGAAGCGUGCAAGAGCUCUGGAAAGACCAUGUCCCCGAGACUGAGCACUUGCCGUGUACCAACCCAGCUGCUCGGGAUCCAACUCAUUCUGCUGGUUUUCUUCAUCAACGGCAGCCUCCUCGUCCUCCCCGCCGCGUCAGCCUACUACAAUGCAUCUGCGCCUGCGGCUGCGAGAGUAUACCUCCCCUUUGGUAAAUCGGGAAUAUACCUCCCCCCUGGUAAAUCGGGAAACUGUGAGUAUCGUAAUUGAAACCAUUACUAAUUGCUAGUACUAAAUUGUGAGUACGAACAUGCGAAUGGUAGUGCUAUGAUAGAGGAAACAUACCGGAAUCCCUCUCUUGAGCAAUUGCCGUUCCGCCCUCUUGUUAAAUGCUUAUCAACUAAUACUUGGUGUUCUUUUUACCAUUUCUUGCAGUAAACGUGUUCGGUGGACCACGAACCGCUACUCCACAUCCUCACGCUAACCAACCGGAGGGGAUUCCUCGGCGCAGAGAGCGCAAACACUAGGCGCCUGAGAGGUGCACGUGCAGCGAGACAACGGGGGAUGAACACAUGUAGUAGCUUUGAUAGGGAAUCAAAUAACCUUGCGUGGUUGGGCCAAUGGGCGCGUUACUUGUAUUUGUGAUGCAUAUGCAGCUUGUUAAACAAGUUUGUGUGCAACUUGCAAUUUCUGUUUCCUUGUCCUUCGAGGGACUCGCUAAUGUUAUACGUACUCGAUCGACAAUUGGUAUCUCCUUUGUACUCCAUUAUUGAAACCGCUCGUAUGUGGAAAGGUUAUUGAAACAAUUUGAUCGAUUGGGCCAACAAAGGUGGUUAGUUGCUUCUUAUUGCUUGUCACUCACUGUAAUCUACUCCCUCCGUCCACAAAUAUACAACGUUUUGGAUAUAUCAAUACGUGCUAAUAUUUAUGAACGGAU